Molecule: long non-coding RNA, 1384 nt
Organism: Chinchilla lanigera (long-tailed chinchilla)
Lineage: Eukaryota; Metazoa; Chordata; Mammalia; Rodentia; Chinchillidae
Source: Ensembl
AUGCUUCUGGGCCCUGAUCAGUGUUUCCCACCUCAAGGUUCCAGGCAUCUCUUUGCUGUCCCAAUUCCUGUUUGUUCCUGCAGUCUGGUCUGUCUAAGAUUUUGGAAACUUCUUUGCAAGGGAAUUUUUCUAACAGGGAGACCCAGCCCGGUGAGGAAGGAACUUGCUGCCUCUUGCCAGCCAGAGACCUGGGAACUGGUGAAGUCAAGCAUUUCUUUACACUGUUGGAGAAAUGAAGCCAAGGUUAUCCAGAUGGCUUCCCAGUUGAAAGGCUUGUCACCUGUGAGAGAUCCUGGCACUGACUGUGAGCCACUGGCAGGGUGUACCCUGCUCACCACAGAGAAGACAAAUCUCUGGAGCCAGGGUGAACAGCCAGUCUGCCUCCAAGGCUUCCGUGUUGCUGAGGCCAUGGAGAUUUCCAGAGCUGGUCAAGCUGGCCUCUCCCAGGGCCCACUGUCCUGGCUGGCAAUACCGUUCUGGCCUGGGCCAGCAGAAAGUUUCAGUGACUUUACUGGCAGUUGGGGCAAGUGGGAGAGGCAAUGACCUCUGCCUAGCGGCCUCCUUCUACACUGUUCAAUGGAAGAUUAAUUUAGCUUCAACCCAAGAGAAUUCCUGAUUCCUUUGAUGCUGUGAUUUGGGCACAAGAUUCCAGACACCUAGAAUGGAGCCUUGUACUCCUGUACGCUUAACAGUGGGGUUUAUAGUCAGCCUUUUUUCUUUUGCUUUUUUAAGGUCACCAUCUAAAUUGCAUCCUUAGCUCAAGACCAACCCGCCCCCCUCAGAUCUCUUUCUUGGUCCCACAGCCCCAGGUCUGUGGCCAGGUGACCUUACUCAGGAGCAGAUAUAUUGAUACUCAUGGUGCCUUAAUCCACCAGACUGGCCUAUAGCAUUCCGGAGCUCACUGGCUCUUCCAGAUGUGCCUUCCUGCUUGGUUUCCAGCGGCUUGGCGGUCCCUCUGCCAGAUGUGAGAAGGAUGGAUAAGAUUGUGGCCAUACCAGCCCUCCCUCUCAAGGGCCUGUGCCAUAGCUAUGGCCACCUGGUUCAGCCCAGAACUUUUGGCUCCUUCCUUGACACCAGGAGUCAGGUCACCCCAAGGUCCUGGCCCAAAUGUUGGAGACCAUUUGUGUAUCCAGGAGACAGCUCUGACCGUGUUCUGUAAAGGUCGAGCGAGCCUCCUUGGGAGGAGUGUGGGUAGCAAGGGAGAGAGGACUGAUGCACCUUAUUCAGUAGUUCCAUAGUGAGUGGUUCCAUUAUGCUUUUCUGAAUAAAAUGUGUUUUGUCUGAUUUCGGGGUUUGUGUCUUCUGUCCUGGUCCUCCAAAGUAACCUCUGUGCUGAGUGUCCCCCCAGGGCCCCCCCAUGUCCUCAUGCCACACUGCCCUGCAG